AGAGUUUGAUCCUGGCUCAGAUUGAACGCUGGCGGCAUGCCUAACACAUGCAAGUCGAACGGUAACAGGCCGCAAGGUGCUGACGAGUGGCGGACGGGUGAGUAAUACGUAGGUAUCUGCCCUGGAGUGGGGGAUAACCCGGGGAAACUCGGGCUAAUACCGCAUACGCUCUUUUAUCGUUGAGAUAGGAGAGGAAAGCGAGGGACCGAAAGGCCUCGCGCUAGAGGAUGAGCCUACGCCCGAUUAGCUAGUUGGUAGGGUAAAGGCCUACCAAGGCGACGAUCGGUAGCUGGUCUGAGAGGAUGGCCAGCCACACUGGGACUGAGACACGGCCCAGACUCCUACGGGAGGCAGCAGUGGGGAAUAUUGGACAAUGGGGGAAACCCUGAUCCAGCGAUGCCGCGUGGGUGAAGAAGGCCUGCGGGUUGUAAAGCCCUUUCAGUGGGAAAGAAAAACGGGGUGUGAACAGCGCUUCGUCUUGACGUUACCCACAGAAGAAGCACCGGCUAACUCCGUGCCAGCAGCCGCGGUAAUACGGAGGGUGCGAGCGUUAAUCGGAAUUACUGGGCGUAAAGGGCGCGUAGGCGGUUGGGUAAGUCGGGUGUGAAAGCCCUGGGCUUAACCUGGGAAUGGCAUUCGAGACCACCUAGCUAGAGUCUGGUAGAGGGAAGUGGAAUUUCCGGUGUAGCGGUGAAAUGUGUAGAUAUCGGAAGGAACACCAGUGGCGAAGGCGACUUCCUGGACCAAGACUGACGCUGAGGCGCGAAAGCGUGGGGAUCAAACAGGAUUAGAUACCCCAGUAGUCC
RNAcentral lists this ribosomal RNA (806 nucleotides) under uncultured Chromatiales bacterium. RNAcentral's name for it is "bacterial SSU rRNA". It matches the Rfam family "Bacterial small subunit ribosomal RNA", at positions 8 to 796 of the family's 1533-position model. The record is from RNAcentral. Lineage: Bacteria; Pseudomonadati; Pseudomonadota; Gammaproteobacteria; Chromatiales.